GAUCGUGUUAGGAGUGUGGGAGGAGCGAAGGUAUAGGUGGUAAAUCUGUCAUUUAUUUUAAUUAUUAUUUAUAGGUUUGUUUAGGAAAAUAAUAUGAUUUAAUUAUUUAAUGAAGAGGAAAUUGGAGUCACUCUCAAACAAUGGUGGGGGCAAUAUUGGGAGAGGUGCUUUUCAGGUACAGAAGUUGGGUCCUUUUACAGUGUCUACUCCUCUCCUUGACGGUGAUUAUGGGCCACUUCUGGACUAUAUAUUUGAUGAGAAUUUGGAUGGAGGAUUUUUAUCUCGGUGCACAUUCAGGACAUCCGUCACUUUGUCUUGUUUCUUCUUCAUGUUGGGAUAAAAGUGGUAGAAAUUUGGGAUUCUCUUCUUCACAAGGGUAAAUCCAGAGGAGCGGAAUUGGUACAACCAGUGCUAAAACAACUUGAUGAUCUGUUGGGAGACCAAAUUGCAAGCACGGGACCUGACGAGUCAUUUUCCAGCUUCACAGUUAGCACAGUGACUAAUGUACCACAACAGUCUAAUUCAUAUGACUGUGGUAUAUAUUGUGAUUAAUUGGAUGGAGCAGCGCCCUA
RNA transcript from Humulus lupulus (European hop), 572 nucleotides. RefSeq lists it as uncharacterized. The transcript has 3 exons. The record is from RefSeq and is a predicted model, not a curated record. Lineage: Eukaryota; Viridiplantae; Streptophyta; Magnoliopsida; Rosales; Cannabaceae.